RNAcentral lists this ribosomal RNA (620 nucleotides) under uncultured bacterium. RNAcentral describes it as "bacterial SSU rRNA". It matches the Rfam family "Bacterial small subunit ribosomal RNA", at positions 226 to 842 of the family's 1533-position model. The record is from RNAcentral.
UGGGCAUGCGGCGCAUUAGGUAGUUGGUAGGGUAACGGCCUACCAAGCCGACGAUGCGUAGGGGUUCUGAGAGGAAGGUCCCCCACAUUGGAACUGAGACACGGUCCAAACUCCUACGGGAGGCAGCAGUGAGGAAUAUUGGUCAAUGGCCGGAAGGCUGAACCAGCCAAGUCGCGUGAGGGAAUAAGGCCCUAUGGGUCGUAAACCUCUUUUGUCAGGGAGCAAAGGCGUCCACGUGUGGACGAGAGGAGAGUACCUGAAGAAAAAGCAUCGGCUAACUCCGUGCCAGCAGCCGCGGUAAUACGGAGGAUGCGAGCGUUAUCCGGAUUUAUUGGGUUUAAAGGGUGCGUAGGCGGAGUGUCAAGUCAGCGGUAAAAUUUCGGGGCUCAACCCCGUCGUGCCGUUGAAACUGACACCCUUGAGUGAGUGAGAAGUAAGCGGAAUGCGUGGUGUAGCGGUGAAAUGCAUAGAUAUCACGCAGAACGCCGAUUGCGAAGGCAGCUUACCGGCGCUCAACUGACGCUGAGGCACGAAAGUGCGGGUAUCGAACAGGAUUAGAUACCCUGGUAGUCCGCACAGUAAACGAUGAAUGCUAGAUGUCCGGGGCGAAUGAGCUCUGG